UUGAACGCUGGCGGCAGGCCUAACACAUGCGAGUCGAGCGGAUGAAGGGAGCUUGCUCCUGGAUUCAGCGGCGGACGGGUGAGUAAUGCCUAGGAAUCUGCCUGGUAGUGGGGGAUAACGUCCGGAAACGGGCGCUAAUACCGCAUACGUCCUGAGGGAGAAAGUGGGGGAUCUUCGGACCUCACGCUAUCAGAUGAGCCUAGGUCGGAUUAGCUAGUUGGUGGGGUAAAGGCCUACCAAGGCGACGAUCCGUAACUGGUCUGAGAGGAUGAUCAGUCACACUGGAACUGAGACACGGUCCAGACUCCUACGGGAGGCAGCAGUGGGGAAUAUUGGACAAUGGGCGAAAGCCUGAUCCAGCCAUGCCGCGUGUGUGAAGAAGGUCUUCGGAUUGUAAAGCACUUUAAGUUGGGAGGAAGGGCAGUAAGUUAAUACCUUGCUGUUUUGACGUUACCAACAGAAUAAGCACCGGCUAACUUCGUG
This 483-nucleotide ribosomal RNA is filed under the name uncultured bacterium. RNAcentral describes it as "partial 16S ribosomal RNA". It matches the Rfam family "Bacterial small subunit ribosomal RNA", at positions 30 to 507 of the family's 1533-position model. The record is from RNAcentral.